Molecule: ribosomal RNA, 715 nt
Filed under: Russula venezueliana
Lineage: Eukaryota; Fungi; Basidiomycota; Agaricomycetes; Russulales; Russulaceae
Description: partial large subunit ribosomal RNA
Source: RNAcentral
ACGGAAAUCCCAGGGCUUCUGUGAUGCGCUCUCGAAGAGUCGAGUUGUUUGRGAAUGCAGCUCAAAAUGGGUGGUGAACUCCAUCUAAAGCUAAAUAUUGGCGAGAGACCGAUAGUGAACAAGUACCGUGAGGGAAAGAUGAAAAGCACUUUGGAAAGAGAGUGAAACAGUACGUGAAAUUGUUGAAAGGGAAACGCUUAAAGUCAGUCGCGUCGACCGAGACUCAGCCUUGCCUAGGCUUGGUGUACUUCUCGGCUGACGGGUCAGCAUCAAUUUUGAUCCUCGGAUAAUGGCAAGGGAAAGGUAGCACCUUUACAGGUGUGUUAUAGUCCCAUGUCGCAUGCGGGGGUCGGGAUUGAGGAACUCAGCAUGCACCCCUCGGUGUCAGGGCCUUUUGGCCCAUGUUACGUGCUUAGGAUGCUGGCAUAAUGGCUUUAAACGACCCGUCUUGAAACACGGACCAAGGAGUCUAACAUACCCGCGAGUGUUUGGGUGGAAAACCCAUGCGCGUAAUGAAAGUGAAAGUUGGGACCUCUGUCGUGGAGGGCACCGACGCCUGGACCAGACCUUCUGUGACGGCUCUGCGGUAGAGCGUGUAUGUUGGGACCCGAAAGAUGGUGAACUAUGCCUGAAUAGGGUGAAGCCAGAGGAAACUCUGGUGGAGGCUCGUAGCGAUUCUGACGUGCAAAUCGAUCGUCAAAUUUGGGUAUAGGGG